Molecule: ribosomal RNA, 504 nt
Filed under: uncultured bacterium
Lineage: Bacteria
Description: partial 16S ribosomal RNA
Rfam family: Bacterial small subunit ribosomal RNA
Source: RNAcentral
GACGAACGCUGGCGGCGUGCCUAAUACAUGCAAGUAGAACGCACAGUUUAUACCGUAGCUUGCUACACCAUAGACUGUGAGUUGCGAACGGGUGAGUAACGCGUAGGUAACCUGCCUGGUAGCGGGGGAUAACUAUUGGAAACGAUGGCUAAUACCGCAUAAUAUUAAUUAUUGCAUGAUAAUUAAUUGAAAGGUGCAAUUGCACCACUACCAGAUGGACCUGCGUUGUAUUAGCUAGUAGGUGAGGUAACGGCUCACCUAGGCGACGAUACAUAGCCGACCUGAGAGGGUGAUCGGCCACACUGGGACUGAGACACGGCCCAGACUCCUACGGGAGGCAGCAGUAGGGAAUCUUCGGCAAUGGACGAAAGUCUGACCGAGCAACGCCGCGUGAGUGAAGAAGGUUUUCGGAUCGUAAAGCUCUGUUGUAAGAGAAGAACGGGUGUGAGAGUGGAAAGUUCACACUGUGACGGUAUCUUACCAGAAAGGGACGGCUAACUACGU